UCUGUAAUUGAUGAUAUUUUUCAGAUGGUUAGCUGUUGUUGCCUUAUUAUAAUAUAAUAAAGGCAUUUGACACUGCAUUAUUGCCUUAUUUGACUAUAAUGAAGGUAUUUGAUACUAUCUUGAUGAAUUAUUUAUCAUUUUGUAUUAAGAACUUUAGUUAUUGUUUCAUUUGCCUUAUUUGUCUAACGUAGUCGAUAUUUUUUUCAGUAUUUUAUUGUCCUACAAUAAUGAUGAGCAUAAUAAACGGAAGAGGGAUAGAAUGCCAAGAGUGUACAAGGCAACAAAGAGGGUUAUGAUCAUCAUUUGAAUAUGGCAGUUGCGCUAUAUAUCAAUAAUGGUUGAGUCAAAAUAUCAUGUAUAGUAACCUUGAAAUGUGUCAUGAUAUCAUUAUAGUCUUAAAUGUUCUCUAUGACUUUUGUAUGCAAAUCGGAU
This 432-nucleotide long non-coding RNA is filed under the name Elaeis guineensis (African oil palm). Its description in RNAcentral is "long non-coding RNA (EGUI_LNC013868)". Lineage: Eukaryota; Viridiplantae; Streptophyta; Magnoliopsida; Arecales; Arecaceae. The record is from RNAcentral.